Molecule: transfer RNA, 67 nt
Filed under: Marmota monax (woodchuck)
Lineage: Eukaryota; Metazoa; Chordata; Mammalia; Rodentia; Sciuridae
Description: tRNA.Ala
Source: RNAcentral
GGUUGUGGCUCAGUGGUAGAGCGUUCCUCGGGCAUGUGUGAGGCCCUGGAUUCGAUCCUCAGCACCA